ACAUGCAAGUCGAACGGUAACAGGGUGCUUGCACCGCUGACGAGUGGCGAACGGGUGAGUAAUGCAUCGGAAUGUACCGUGUAAUGGGGGAUAGCUCGGCGAAAGCCGGAUUAAUACCGCAUACGCCCUGAGGGGGAAAGUGGGGGACCGUAAGGCCUCACGUUAUACGAGCAGCCGAUGUCUGAUUAGCUAGUUGGUGGGGUAAAGGCUCACCAAGGCAACGAUCAGUAGCGGGUCUGAGAGGAUGAUCCGCCACACUGGGACUGAGACACGGCCCAGACUCCUACGGGAGGCAGCAGUGGG
RNAcentral lists this ribosomal RNA (303 nucleotides) under Chromobacterium sp. Z1. RNAcentral's name for it is "bacterial SSU rRNA". It matches the Rfam family "Bacterial small subunit ribosomal RNA", at positions 53 to 358 of the family's 1533-position model. The record is from RNAcentral. Lineage: Bacteria; Pseudomonadati; Pseudomonadota; Betaproteobacteria; Neisseriales; Chromobacteriaceae.